CCUACGGGUGGCAGCAGUGGGGAAUAUUGGACAAUGGGCGAAAGCCUGAUCCAGCCAUGCCGCGUGUGUGAAGAAGGCCUUCGGGUUGUAAAGCACUUUCGGUGGGGAAGAAAGCCUUGGGGCUAAUACCCUCGAGGAAGGACAUCACCCACAGAAGAAGCACCGGCUAACUCCGUGCCAGCAGCCGCGGUAAUACGGAGGGUGCGAGCGUUAAUCGGAAUUACUGGGCGUAAAGCGCGCGUAGGCGGUCUGAUAAGCCGGUUGUGAAAGCCCCGGGCUCAACCUGGGAACGGCAUCCGGAACUGUCAGGCUAGAGUGCAGGAGAGGAAGGUAGAAUUCCCGGUGUAGCGGUGAAAUGCGUAGAGAUCGGGAGGAAUACCAGUGGCGAAGGCGGCCUUCUGGACUGACACUGACGCUGAGGUGCGAAAGCGUGGGUAGCAAACAGGAUUAGAUACCCGAGUAGUC
RNAcentral lists this ribosomal RNA (465 nucleotides) under Vreelandella stevensii. RNAcentral describes it as "partial 16S ribosomal RNA". It matches the Rfam family "Bacterial small subunit ribosomal RNA", at positions 338 to 795 of the family's 1533-position model. The record is from RNAcentral. Lineage: Bacteria; Pseudomonadati; Pseudomonadota; Gammaproteobacteria; Oceanospirillales; Halomonadaceae.